GUGAGCCUGUUUCUCGAAGACAUUAAAUAUUAUAAAAAAGGUAAUAUAAUUUAUAUAAUGUAUAUAAUGAUAUUAUCACGUCCCGGUUCCGCCAUUAAAUUGUCCUCUGGACAACAAGUUGGCUGCAUUUUCUUUUCGGUGGAAAGAAUAAACAACUGCCGAGUCCGCCGGAUGUGGUGCCGUUGGAAGUACAAGCAAAUUGGGAUCUACCUAGAAAAGUGGUACCAGCGUAGUACUCACAAAGCAGGUACAAUGCAUUCAAAAGCUCAGGAAAAAAAUGAAAAAUUCUAAUUAGCAAACAGCACUUUUGUGGUUCUGAAUGGCUGUGCGGGUUCCGGAUUCGCGCAUCGUAUUUAAGGACUUUGUGACGCACCUUCCUUCGGACAUUGACCUCGGACGUAUGAUGACAUCGAAAUUCAGUGCACGAACCCCAUUUAGAAGAAUUCAAUUACUUCAAUCAAACAGCUGCGUCCCUGAAUCGACGUUUACCUGGCAUUCUGACAAGUACUGCUACUAGACGACGUUCCAGGAACUACUUUGAACGACCACUUCGAAGUGCUACAACCGUCGCUUGGAUCGAAACGAUCAUUUGACCAACAAAACGCUCCGUUACAGCAUGAGCUCUCUGGGGCCAUAUUCUGGAUUCACUGGAAUGUAGUCAAAUGGUCCCAAAAUUAGUAUUGAGCAGCUUGUUAAGCCCAGCAACAUUUCUUGAACCGCCGCUUGACAAAGUUAUCUUGAAAAAUCACUCCCUGCAACUAUGUUCACGGAACAGGCCAAAUGGCCUCCAGUUUUUUAUCCGUUUCAUCAAAAUAAUGUAAUUAAUAUUAUUAAAAUAUAGCUAGGUUUAGUAUAAAAUAUAGC
Molecule: long non-coding RNA, 864 nt
Organism: Topomyia yanbarensis
Lineage: Eukaryota; Metazoa; Arthropoda; Insecta; Diptera; Culicidae
Exons: 4
Source: RefSeq, a predicted model, not a curated record